RNAcentral lists this ribosomal RNA (883 nucleotides) under uncultured euryarchaeote. RNAcentral's name for it is "bacterial SSU rRNA". It matches the Rfam family "Archaeal small subunit ribosomal RNA", at positions 21 to 903 of the family's 1478-position model. The record is from RNAcentral. Lineage: Archaea; Methanobacteriati; Methanobacteriota.
AGGCUACUGCUAUUAGAGUUCGAUUAAGCCAUGUUAGUUAAGGGGGCCUCGCAAGAGGUAACCCGGCGGACGGCUCAGUAACACGUGGAUAACUUACCCUUAGGAUAGGGAUAACCCCUGGGAAACUGGGGAUAAUACCUAAUAAGCCUUCGAUUGCUGGAAUGCACGAAGACCAAAAGCUAAGGCACCUAAGGAUAGGUCUGCGACUGAUUAGAUGGUUGUUGAUGUAAUGGAUCAACAAGUCAACGAUCAGUACGGGUUGUGAGAGCAAUAGCCCGGAGAUGGGUUCUGAGAAAAGAACCCAGGUCCUACGGGACGCAUCAGGCGCGAAAACUUUACACUGUGCGAAAGCACGAUAAGGGAACUCUGAGUGCCUCCUCAGGAGGCUGUUCCGAUGUCUAAAAAGCAUCGGAAGGAAGGACUGGGUAAGACCGGUGCCAGCCGCCGCGGUAACACCGGCAGUCCAAGUGGUAGCCACUUUUAUUAGGUCUAAAGCGUCCGUAGCCGGCUAGGUAAGUCCCUUGGUAAAUCUGAUUGCUUAACGAUCAGGGUUCUAGGGGAUACUGCAGGGCUUGAGACCGGAAGAGGUCAGAGGUACUUCAAGGGUAGGAGUGAAAUCCUUUAAUCCCUGAAGGACCAUCAGUGGCGAAGGCAUCUGACCAGAACGGAUCUGACGGUGAGGGACUAAGGCUAGGGGCGCGAACCGGAUUAGAUACCCGGGUAGUCCUAGCAGUAAACGAUGCGGGCUAGGUGUUAGUAUCACUGCGAGUGGUACUAGUGUCGAAGGGAAGCCGUUAAGCCCGCCAUCUGGGAAGUACGGUCGCAAGGCUGAAACUUAAAGGAAUUGGCGGGGGAGCACUACAACGGGUGGAGCCUGCGGUUU